CAAAAGACGAUGUCCAAGCCUGGCAAAAUGACUAUAUUCGUCGAAAGUAGUUAUUAGAAAGUUUAGAACAACCUCCUGGUCCUUUUGCGAAGUGAUUUUAUGUAAAAACUGUGAUAAGAUGGCAGAAGCUAAUCAAGUUUGAAGAGCUUCGUUUAUAAUCUCCAAGCGUUGCGGAUAGGGCAGGUGCAAAUCCGACCCCAGGACGUUUUCUUCGUUGGUGUGGUGCCCGGAGCAAAUGAUUCCGGACAUCAUGGUGCCAGACCGCGAUGUAGCACCACCGACCGGCUGCAACACCAGUCAGUCUCAAAGGUCUCGGGGGUUGAAGUAGAGCAGAAAUUUUCGACACAAACGAUCGAAUUCUUAGUCGCCCCAUAACCCCACCUCUGGGGGGUAGCGUUUGUUCUAGUAGGCAGUAGGAGGACCGACCAAGGCGAUUUCGACAUUGAUAUAGCUUGUACUAAGAAUAGGUGUAAAAUAAGGCUGAUGUUAGCCAAGAUGAUUGCGUUUGUUUCUCGAAGAAGAUGCAACAUGAGUUCGGCGUCUUUGAGUAAAGAUAAAGUUCAUAUCAUGCUGACCCUGUUAUUGAACAACAGGAAACGUGGCAUGCCGGACCGUGUGGGCGGUAUCAACCAGUUCGAAGUUCAAAAUCACCUAAACCUGAAGCUGAACGCCUGACAAACUGAAGGGGCGGCUGCUCCAGACGUUUUAGAUGUAUGAUUGCCUAAAGGUGCUCGUCACCGCUGGUUACCCCCGACAAUCUUGCCGCCAGCGAUACGGUACGUUAUCAUUGACUCGACUGACGGCGUAGCUGCAGAGGCGCUUUUAAGUUUGUCGUUCUACUUGUGCUCGUGAAUAUUUCUGUAUUCGCCCCCGUCUAUGUAUCCUGAUAUGGCUGGACAUGGACGAAUCCAAACUCUCGCCCCGGCAGCAAACGGCAUGUUGUUGCCACUGCUGAUGCAGACGCCGUGAGCGAGGUGACGUGUGAAGUACUUUUCGCAGGCCUGCGGAACCAAUCGAAGCCCGAAGCUGAUAGAUGCGCUGUAGUGCCAACGAUGACGACAAUUUGGACACGGGUAGAAACGGGGCGAACAAGACCUCCUACCCGAACGAAAGCAGUCAUCGUCAAUAGGCUGACAAGCGUCACACAACCGAGACGAUUAAAAGAACGAGAGAGAGGACGUCACGCAUGCUCUUCUCUCCCAUCUGUUGUUGUUGUUACCGUCGUUGUUACUGUCGACAACCUGAAGCUGACGGCCAGAAGGAUGAUGUCGGCGAUGACAGGCUGGCCGCCUACCGAGAGAACAAUGGGAGAAGGUGAGGGAAAUGAGGAAACAAUUCGGGAGUCGUGGCUCAGAACGGAUGGCAUUUGGCCACGCGGCAGUGCAGCUGUAGCAGCAGCAGCAGCAGCAAUAACAAUAACGGCGACAACUGGGCGGUAACAGGAACGAGGUAAACAGGUGAUGAAGAAAAUGAUCCAGUGCGAAAGGAAAGGCCGAUGACGACAGCGAGAGCGGUGUCGCUUGGAUGGACAUAUCUGAAGAUCCGAACUGAGAGGGACAGAAAGCCGAACGGGACGAAAUG
RNAcentral lists this long non-coding RNA (1581 nucleotides) under Varroa destructor (honeybee mite). Its description in RNAcentral is "uncharacterized LOC111243003". Lineage: Eukaryota; Metazoa; Arthropoda; Arachnida; Mesostigmata; Varroidae. The record is from RNAcentral.